ACCAGCACACCAGCACAACAGCACACCUGCGCGAUAAGCUGCUCAGGUAAUUGGCGUGUUCCUAAGCUUUCCUUCUGUUUGGUGAGCCGAGUAGCGCUGGGGCUUCCCAACGCCUGACACACGAUGGCUGAACCCGGCAAGUCAUCUCUGUGGCCCUUGAAAAUAGCUGUGGUGAGAGAGCUAGCCGUUUCUGAGACAAGCCCCGGAUGAAGCAGGGAGGAUUCGCUGCGCAGGAGUGUAUGGUGGCUCAGCUGGGCACUGGUGGGCGGUCACAGAAGCGAAGGAUUGGAAGCGGAGGUUGGUGAGCUUAGCCGUGACGAAAUCAAGAGGAUAUACAGCAUAGUGGAAGGGUUUAUUGGCUCUACAACACUGAAAUAAUGAAAAGAACACUGCGAUGGUGGGCAGCUGGAAGUUCCUGCACCAUAAUAGAAGGGUUUACUGGUUCUACAACGCUGAAGUAAUGAAAAGAACAAUGCGGUGGUGGACAUGCAGCUGACCGCCCCUGCUCUGAAGCCAUCAUUAUAUUGUGCCGCCUUUUGUGUGGGAUUCCUUGAACUGGAGAGGCGGUGGUGGUGGUGGCAGCGGCGGCCUUGGUAUAAGUCUUCAUUUGCUCCUGACCAGCCACCUUAGCCUUGCACUCCCCGAUCCUCUCUGCUCCACCUUCCCAUCACCCGCCCCCCCUCUGUGUGUGUGCGCGCGCACUCCCAGAUCCUCUCUGCUCCACCUUCCCAUCCCCUCCCCCCUGUGUGUGUGUGUGUGUGUGUGCGUGCGCGCCCCCCCUCUCCGUAUAAAAUGUCAGAUUUUCCUCUCAUUUUACAUCUUGUCAGCAUUCUUGUCUUCUCACUCUCGUCUCUCCUCUUCUCUCCAGGUAAUCAAAUUAAUGGAGAUGGAUUUGUCAGUUUUAUUAAAUUGUUUGUACUGCAUAACAAUCCCUUACUUACCAUUUACUUGAGCAGCUCAUCUUUACUGAAGCAGUAAAGUGCAAACACAUUACUUCCAUACAAUAAUAGAGUUUGGUAAUAUAUGAACAAAUUUACUAGUUAGUUUUACUUUUUUCUAUUCAAUUCAUAAUUCAACUAUAUCCACUUUACUUUUUUCUAUUCAAUUCUUAAUUCAACUAUAUCCACAAACAUCACAUGAAAGAUCUCUCUCCCCCAAUCAGUUAACUUAAUGCUUUCCUGUAUUUGUGAACACAAGCACAAGUAAAAAUGUAAAUAAUGUUGAUUUGUGGAGUCAAAAAAAAAAAGUUUUGGAAGAAGGAAUGCAUAUCAAUGUUGAUUUGAAUUAAAUGAUUCAAAUCAAGCUGAUCUUUACUCUUGUUUUUUUUUAACCCGUUGUAAUCCUUAGUCAACAUUCCAGACUGGUGUGGCCCACUAUGACCUGAUGCACGUGCCGUCCUCCCUCAGCACCACCUUGCCCCGGGCCACCAGCUCCAUUGCCCUGCAGGGAGAAGCAACACACUACUGACCAGCAAGUCAUGCACCGUGGUGGAGUUAUUAUUUUGUCUUGAGUGUCACUACCACAGCUCGGAGGAAGGAACAGGAGAGUGGUGUUAGAAAGGAGUGGACAGCUGGGAAAGGUUCAUAAACAUUGUAAACAGAGCAUGGCUACAAAGGAAUAGAGUAGUCAGGCAAAACAACCCAGUGAAGCAGAGUUACAUCCUCACCAUGAGCUGCCAGCCAGCCAAACACAGGGUGCAGGGGCCACUGUGAUGCCUGCAGGUGUGCACUCAGUUGGCUUGGUAGGACUCUUGGCAGGUUCUCCAGCAGGCCACCUCCAGUGAUGUGUGCUGCAGCCUUGACCAAGCCCCCUUCCAGCACCUUGGCCAGACUCCUGCAGUAGAUCCUGGUGGGGGUGAGCAGCUCAGCACCUGAAGGACAUCCACACAUCAAUAUCAUAACUCUCAUGACAAUUCCCUAGUUUUGUUAAGUAAAGCCUUUUGGUUCUUUGCAUAUCAGUGAUUCAUAAUAAUUUUGUUGCCUCGCCACUGUACCAACACAAAAUAUGGCUUAAACACUACACGUACCAACACAAAAUAUGGCUUAAACAACACAAGUCACAAUCUGGAAACAAACACAUUAAGAGAACCCAGCAGCCCCCCCCCCCCAAACCACAAGCCCUCUAGUCCAUCAACUUCCUGACCCACCCUCCCAGCCCAGUCAGUCCUCAGCCACCAGCAGCCUACCAAGUGUGUUGUCUGGGUUGAAGGGUGCUGGGUCGCUGUACUUUAGGUCCUGAGCCUCCACAAUCCUGCGCACCAGGCUGAACCCGUUGCUGUGCAGGCCGGAGGAAGGCAGGCCCACCAGCACAUCCCCCUCAGCCACCUCCUCAGUGCGGGGCAGCAUGUUGCCUCUCUCCACGGCCCCCACUGUGAAGCCUGCCAGGUCAUACUCCCCUCCAGCAUACAUCCCCGGCAUCUCUGCUGUCUCGCCGCCUGUUUGGGAAGAAUUGGUUGCUUCGUGAGAGACUGUCCAAACUGUGUGGCUGUUUCCCGUACAGUGAGGGCAGGGUAGGUCCUCCUCCCCAUCAGAGGCCAAUGGGGUGCAACAGUGUCAUGAAUGUAUGUGAAUAUAAGAAAAUUGUCUCAAUUUGGCUACCAUCUUUUUUGGGUGACUCACCAAUGAGGGCACAGCCAGCAAUGGAACAUGCCCGAGCCACGCCCUUCACCACACUGGCCGCCACCUUCCCCUCCAGCCGCCCCGUGGAGUAGUAGUCCAGGAAGAAGAGUGGCUGGGCACCGUGGACCAGCACGUCAUUGACACACAUGGCCACCAGGUCUUGGCCCACUGUGUCGUGCAUCCCUGCUGCCUGGGCCACCUGUGCAGGGAGGUGGUGCUGCACUGCAUACCUUCAGCUUAGUGCCAACCCCGUCAGUGCCAGACACCAGAAUGGGAUCCUUGAAGCCAGUCUGCCGGAGAUCAAAAAGUCCGCCAAAGGAGCCCAGGCCAGCCAUCACCCCGGGGCAGGCUGUGGCAGCGGCAGCUUCCUUGAUGGCUGCCACAAACUCAUUCCCGGCAUUGAUGUCCACCCCGCUGUCCUUGUACGUGACUCCUGCACCACCAAACCUGAGACACGUCAGUCAGCUUGGCCCAGCAGCCCACACAGCUACAUCUACUACGUUACUCUUCCCAAAGGUAAGACAAAUAGUGAAACAUUCAGUGGUGCUUUAUUCAAUGUAAGAAAAAUAACAUGACACACCAUACCAGUUUCCUGAGGUAGGGCAGAGGGACAAAGGUGAGGUGGUGAGGAAGGAGUGGGAGAGGUUGUGAUGUUGGUUAGUGGCUACGGUUACCUUGACUGGACAGGUUAGUGGGUUUGUUUAGUAGAGUGCCUUGUUAGUCAGCUGACCUAGAGGUGACCUUAGUGGCCCGGGCAGCAAUGUCCCUCCUGAAGGUGGCGCCCUCAAAGGUGAUGCGUCUGGCCAGCUGUGUGGCCCUGGCAGCAGUGUCCUUCAAGACUGUCCCCGUCACCACCACUGCCAGCACACGACCCCCAGAGGUGACUAGUGUGUCUCCCUCCCUCUUGGUGCCAGCGUGGAUCACCUGCACCCCUGCCUCUCCUGAUACCUCCUCCACACCUGCAGGGGUCAAUAGGUCAACAGAUGGUCCACAGCUUCACUCCUCUUGAGACCACUCAAACUUCUACAAAUAUCUACAACUGCUUUUCUUUACCUCCAACAAAUAUCUACAACUGCUUUUCUUCACCUCCACCACAAGUCACAACCCUGCAAGACCUGUCCACCACUCACCAAUCACUACAUAACAAGAUGUGCAGACACCCACCUGUUAUGGUUUUGCCCUUUGGAUAGCUGCCUGGGUAGCCUCCACUCACCACACACACCCCCACACA
Portunus trituberculatus (swimming crab) is the source of this 3849-nucleotide long non-coding RNA. RefSeq lists it as uncharacterized. The transcript is spliced from 5 exons. The record is from RefSeq and is a predicted model, not a curated record. Lineage: Eukaryota; Metazoa; Arthropoda; Malacostraca; Decapoda; Portunidae.